Molecule: ribosomal RNA, 515 nt
Filed under: Nikoides sp. BOLD:ACR8697
Lineage: Eukaryota; Metazoa; Arthropoda; Malacostraca; Decapoda; Processidae
Description: partial 16S ribosomal RNA
Rfam family: Archaeal large subunit ribosomal RNA
Source: RNAcentral
GCUGUGGGGAAUUAAAUGCAGAGUCUGGCCUGCCCAAUGAGUAAAAUUGAAUGGCUGCGGUAAUUUGACCGUGCGAAGGUAGCAUAAUCAAUAGUCUUUUAAUUGAAGGCUGGAAUGAAUGGUCGGACAAGAAAUAAGUUGUCUCUUAGAUAAAUUUUGAAUUUUACUUUUAAGUGAAAAGGCUUAAAUAAUUUGAUGGGACGAUAAGACCCUAUAAAACUUUACUGGAUUUGUAUAUUCCUUUAAUUUAGAUGUAUAAAAAAUAUUUUUACUUCUCUUGUUUUGUUGGGGCGACAGAGAUAUAAAUUCCAUUUUAUAACUGUUUAUCAGAGAAAAUAAUUUUAAUUAGUUUUUGAUCCUAUUAUAUAGAUUAUAAGAAUAAGUUACUUUAGGGAUAACAGCGUAAUUUUUUUUGAGAGUUCUUAUCGACAAAAUUAGUUGCGACCUCGAUGUUGAAUUAAAGUUACCUUUCUGUGUAGGAGCAAUAAGGGUAGGUCUGUUCGACCUUUAAAACU